Molecule: ribosomal RNA, 258 nt
Filed under: Glomus sp.
Lineage: Eukaryota; Fungi; Glomeromycota; Glomeromycetes; Glomerales; Glomeraceae
Description: partial small subunit ribosomal RNA
Rfam family: Eukaryotic small subunit ribosomal RNA
Source: RNAcentral
AAGCUCGUAGUUGAAUUUCGGGACUAACAGAUUGGUCGCGCCUUUGGUGUGUACUGGUCUAGUUGGUUUCUCCCUUCUGACGAACCACGAUGUCAUUAGUUUGGUGUCGUGGGAAAUCAGGACUGUUACUUUGAAAAAAUUAGAGUGUUUAAAGCAAGCGCUAGCUUGAAUACAUUAGCAUGGAAUAAUGAAAUAGGACGUUUGACCCUAUUUUGUUGGUUUCUAGGAUCGACGUAAUGAUUAAUAGGGAUAGUUGGG